RNAcentral lists this ribosomal RNA (402 nucleotides) under uncultured bacterium. Its description in RNAcentral is "bacterial SSU rRNA". It matches the Rfam family "Bacterial small subunit ribosomal RNA", at positions 29 to 432 of the family's 1533-position model. The record is from RNAcentral.
AUUGAACGCUGGCGGAAUGCUUUACACAUGCAAGUCGAACGGCAGCACGGGGCAACCUGGUGGCGAGUGGCGAACGGGUGAGUAAUACAUCGGAACGUGCCCAAUCGUGGGGGAUAACGUAGCGAAAGUUACGCUAAUACCGCAUACGAUCUACGGAUGAAAGCGGGGGAUCGCAAGACCUCGCGCGAAUGGAGCGGCCGAUGUCAGAUUAGGUAGUUGGUGGGGGUAAAGGCUCACCAAGCCGACGAUCUGUAGCUGGUCUGAGAGGACGACCAGCCACACUGGGACUGAGACAGGCCCAGACUCCUACGGGAGGCAGCAGUGGGGGAAUUUUGGGACAAUGGGCGCAAGCCUGAUCCAGCCAUUCCGCGUGCAGGAUGAAGGCCUUCGGGUUGGUAACUA